GAUGAACGCUGGCGGCGUGCCUAAUACAUGCAAGUCGAGCGAACAGAUGAGGAGCUUGCUCCUCUGACGUUAGCGGCGGACGGGUGAGUAACACGUGGAUAACCUACCUAUAAGACUGGAAUAACUUCGGGAAACCGGAGCUAAUACCGGAUAAUAUAUUGAACCGCAUGGUUCAAUAGUGAAAGACGGUUUUGCUGUCACUUAUAGAUGGAUCCGCGCCGCAUUAGCUAGUUGGUAAGGUAACGGCUUACCAAGGCAACGAUGCGUAGCCGACCUGAGAGGGUGAUCGGCCACACUGGAACUGAGACACGGUCCAGACUCCUACGGGAGGCAGCAGUAGGGAAUCUUCCGCAAUGGGCGAAAGCCUGACGGAGCAACGCCGCGUGAGUGAUGAAGGUCUUCGGAUCGUAAAACUCUGUUAUUAGGGAAGAACAAAUGUGUAAGUAACGAUGCACGUCUUGACGGUACCUAAUCAGAAAGCCACGGCUAACUACGU
Molecule: ribosomal RNA, 496 nt
Filed under: uncultured bacterium
Lineage: Bacteria
Description: partial 16S ribosomal RNA
Rfam family: Bacterial small subunit ribosomal RNA
Source: RNAcentral